Molecule: microRNA precursor, 80 nt
Filed under: Ovis aries (sheep)
Lineage: Eukaryota; Metazoa; Chordata; Mammalia; Artiodactyla; Bovidae
Description: miRNA (ENSOARG00000022805.1)
Source: RNAcentral
CUGGGUUGGCUAAAAAGUUUGUUUGGGUUUUUCUGUAACAUCUUACAGAAAAAUCCGAAUGACCUUUUUGGCCAGCCCAA